AGGCCUCAAACAUGCAAGUCGAGCGCCCAGCAAUGGGAGCGGCGGACGGGUGCGUAACACGUGGGAACGUACCCUUUGGUUCGGAACAACGCAGGGAAACUUGCGCUAAUACUGGAUAAGCCCGAAAGGGGAAAGAUUUAUCGCCAAAGGAUCGGCCCGCGUUCGAUUAGCUAGUUGGUGGGGUAAAGGCCCACCAAGGCAACGAUCGAUAGCUGGUCUGAGAGGACGAUCAGCCACACUGGGACUGAGACACGGCCCAGA
This 261-nucleotide ribosomal RNA is filed under the name uncultured bacterium. RNAcentral's name for it is "partial 16S ribosomal RNA". It matches the Rfam family "Bacterial small subunit ribosomal RNA", at positions 46 to 335 of the family's 1533-position model. The record is from RNAcentral.